RNAcentral lists this ribosomal RNA (241 nucleotides) under uncultured bacterium. Its description in RNAcentral is "partial 16S ribosomal RNA". It matches the Rfam family "Bacterial small subunit ribosomal RNA", at positions 1263 to 1500 of the family's 1533-position model. The record is from RNAcentral.
GGAGGCAAAUCCCAAAAAUAAACGUCCCAGUUCGGACUGUAGUCUGCAACCCGACUACACGAAGCUGGAAUCGCUAGUAAUCGCGAAUCAGAAUGUCGCGGUGAAUACGUUCCCGGGUCUUGUACACACCGCCCGUCACACCAUGAGAGUUGGGGAUACCCGAAGCCUGUGAGCUAACUAUUUAUAGGAGCAGCAGUCGAAGGUAGAAUCAAUGAUUGGGGUGAAGUCGUAACAAGGUAGC